CCCUGAAUCCCGGCUGAGACAGGGGCUAGGCUAGGGCUGAUCAUUAGGGGCAGCAGGGCUGGGAAGGGUGGAGGGCAUCUUACCUGGCACUAGGCUGUGAGGGAAGCCCAGCCCAGGUGAGCACAGAGCCCAUGGACCAGCGAAGCAGGCAUGGCUCACCUGCCGUGGGACCCCAACCAGGGCCCAUUGCUGGGGCACAGCAUCCCAAGGCAGGGAACGAGUGUCUGGGAUUAGUGGUAGACAGGCCUCCCUGCCCAGGGCUAUACCCUACAUGGGUGCAGUGCAGCCUGGGGAGACCAAUUUGCCAGUGUCAAGUGAACACAGCCCUGUGCUUGCAAAUGCUCACAUCCCUGACAGCCCUGCUUCAAGUCACAGAGCCCCAGGACCAGGUUUCUCUAAGGAGCGCUGCCUCAGGGAAUAAAAGGGACAUGGUAGAGUUUCUUGUCCUUUUGGGGAAGAGCCAUAUCGCAAACUAAAAGGAGCUUGCUGGUUUUUCCUCUGGAGGACUCUCCCCUAAGAUACAGGGUACUACUCCUUUGUCCUUGAGUUCUCCCAGCAAACAUUUGCUGAGUGGCCAGUACAUGACUGGUGCAGGGCAACAGAUACCAUAUCACUGCCCCAGGAGCUGCCCUGCCAGGAAGCAGACACUGUUUUCUCCUCCUAGGACCCACAGUUGGAUGACUGGAUAUGCCCCACAGUGAUUGUGUCAUGUUGUGGGUGCCCAGACAGGGGCAAACAGGACACCUUGGGUGACUUUGCUCACAGCUGCAUGCAGGGCCCACUGAUGUGCUGUCAGCACAAGAACAUGGAGAGGUACACCAACUACACUCCAGUGGAUCCCCUCUGUGGGCAGUUAUACUGCAGCCCAAACAUCUGCCUUCAAUGCAGACAAAACUGCUACCUCGGGAACAGCUGCUGCUCAAGGUGCCAAUGUCCUGUAUCCUCCAUGCCUCCCACCUGGAUGCUGCCGCCAAACCCUCCCUCUCCUCAGCACUGUUUGGAAGACUGACACUUCCACCCCCACACCACAGCACCACAAACCCCAAAUCAUUAAGAACCUUUUAUUGAGCAAGCACACAAUUCAAGAUGGUGGCAUGAGAAGUGAGACAAGAGAACCAUCAAAACCACACAUAACUAAUCCUAAAAGAGCAACAGGAAAGAGGGCUGCACCAGACUGCAUGCACCUGGAGAACAAAGCAGACCUCAUGAAACAGGGUAAUGUACCAAAGCCUUGAUUCAGUGGGA
Molecule: non-coding RNA, 1245 nt
Organism: Manis javanica (Malayan pangolin)
Lineage: Eukaryota; Metazoa; Chordata; Mammalia; Pholidota; Manidae
Source: RefSeq, a predicted model, not a curated record